GCCGCGGUAACCUGACCGUGCUAAGGUAGCGCAAUCACUUGCCCUUUAAUUGGGGGCUAGUAUGAAUGGCCAGACAAGGGCUUUACUGUCUCAAAAGACGUAAUGAAAAUUGACCUUUAGGUGCAGAGGCCUAAAUUCUAGUGAAAGACAAGAAGACCCUAUCGAGCUUUAAUUUUACUCAUUUCUCUAAAUGAAAUAAAUUUUUAUUGGGGCAAUAAAGGCGCAAACAAAGCCGCCUUUAAUAACUUGUUAUAUAAAAUUAUAAGAGAAACAUUUUUAGUGCGCACAAGCAUAAGCUACCGUAGGGAUAACAGACUAAUUUUCCUCGAGAGUCCACAUUGACAGGAAAGUUUGGCACCUCGAUGUUGGCUUAAAAAACAGUUAUGAAGCGA
This 392-nucleotide ribosomal RNA is filed under the name Phascolosoma agassizii. RNAcentral describes it as "partial 16S ribosomal RNA". It matches the Rfam family "Bacterial large subunit ribosomal RNA", at positions 1930 to 2561 of the family's 2925-position model. Lineage: Eukaryota; Metazoa; Annelida; Sipuncula; Phascolosomatiformes; Phascolosomatidae. The record is from RNAcentral.